This 1083-nucleotide long non-coding RNA is filed under the name Homo sapiens (human). Its description in RNAcentral is "long non-coding RNA NONHSAT243406". The record is from RNAcentral. Lineage: Eukaryota; Metazoa; Chordata; Mammalia; Primates; Hominidae.
AGACACCUCACCUCACGCCAGGCUGCUGAGCUCAGCGGGGGGCACGAUUGCCCAAGCAGGGGUGGGGCAGGGCAAGGCAGACCCAGUCACAUGGUGGGAAAAGCCAAAAAAAACCUGCCUGAUUUGGUAAAAUGCCAGAACUGGGCAUUUUAAAGUUAGUUUUUAAGGCGUAGCCAUUUGUUGGGGGUUUUUUUGCCUUGUACUCUCCUGUCUCCCUCCUCGCCACACAAUAAACUGUCUCCAAGGCAGCCGCCCUCCCGUUGCCAGGACGUGCGAGGCAGGGAGGUCAGGAGCUCUGCUGUGAGGGCGCCACCCGGCUUCCGGUUUGUGCAUGAAAACCCGGCUCAGCUUUUCCGUUCCAUGAAGACUGGGCUUCUCCAGGCUGCUCGGUAAAUAAUCACGGAUUCCACUGGGAAGAGAAAACAUCCCCACAGCCCCUUCUCCAUUGUGCACCCAACCUCCAGGUGUUUUCAGUCUCUCAAAGAGCCCCGACGCCUGAAAUUUAACAACUAAAACCUUAUUUUUCAUUUCCUGAGAUUCUCUUGGUGGAAUCAGGCAGCCUGGCAGUGCGCAGCACCUAGGGUGGCUCAUGAUGAAAAAUCCAGAGGGGACUUUGCCUUCCUGCAUGUCCUUUUGUCACCAGAACCCGGGGACCAGCAGGACCCAAAGCUCCCUGCGGGAUCAGCUGGGUCUGGGAAUCACUGUCCUGGGCCCAUUUGGACUUUUCGGAUGAGGCCGGUGUUUGGCCAGCACCUGGGCUGGGCAGGUGGGAAGGACAGAGGCGCUGAUGGAGAGAGGGAGGGGAAGGGGAUUCACAGCCGUCCUGGGAGCCCCACGGGUGCCUUUGGCCUCUGGCUCCUCUGCCUGCCCCUCAGGCUGGUUAAAUUCCCCCCUGAAAGUUCCCCAUUGGGCAAGUCCAGCAAGCCUGAGCCAGGCCUGUGAUCUCAGGGUGGGUGGAGCUCUAGAAGGCCUGGCCCUCGCUCCUGGAGUCCACGUUCACCCUCAAGGCAGUGAACGGCACCCCACUGCGCAUCUACUCACUAACCAGGCACGGGAUGGUUUCCAUGGUUCCUGUGUCUUAGA